GAUGAACGCUGGCGGCGUGCCUAAUACAUGCAAGUCGAGCGAACAGACGAGGAGCUUGCUCCUCUGACGUUAGCGGCGGACGGGUGAGUAACACGUGGAUAACCUACCUAUAAGACUGGGAUAACUUCGGGAAACCGAGCUAAUACCGGAUAAUAUAUUGAACCGCAUGGUUCAAUAGUGAAAGACGGUUUUGCUGUCACUUAUAGAUGGAUCCGCGCCGCAUUAGCUAGUUGGUAAGGUAACGGCUUACCAAGGCAACGAUGCGUAGCCGACCUGAGAGGGUGAUCGGCCACACUGGAACUGAGACACGGUCCAGACUCCUACGGGAGGCAGCAGUAGGGAAUCUUCCGCAAUGGGCGGAAGCCUGACGGAGCAACGCCGCGUGAGUGAUGAAGGUCUUCGGAUCGUAAAACUCUGUUAUUAGGGAAGAACAAAUGUGUAAGUAACUAUGCACGUCUUGACGGUACCUAAUCAGAAAGCCACGGCUAACUACGUG
RNAcentral lists this ribosomal RNA (496 nucleotides) under uncultured bacterium. RNAcentral describes it as "partial 16S ribosomal RNA". It matches the Rfam family "Bacterial small subunit ribosomal RNA", at positions 28 to 507 of the family's 1533-position model. The record is from RNAcentral.